Molecule: non-coding RNA, 321 nt
Filed under: Flavobacteriaceae bacterium
Lineage: Bacteria; Pseudomonadati; Bacteroidota; Flavobacteriia; Flavobacteriales; Flavobacteriaceae
Source: RNAcentral
CCAGCAGGUCAAUCUUAUCGCUCCGAUUUAUCGGAGAGGAAAGUCCGGACACCAAAGAGUAGCAUAGCGGAUAACAUCCGUCCGACGUAAGUUGAGGACAAGUGCAACAGAAAGCAAGUACAGUUCGGCUGUAGUGAAACCAGGUAAACUCUAUGCGGUGCAAUGCCACGUAUAUUGAAGCCUCGAUAAYUAUCGGGAGAGAACUACUCGUUCGAUUUCAAGGGGUGGGCAGAUAGAUUCUAAAAGUAAUUUUAGAACUAGAUAAAUGAUAAGACUCCGAUUAUUCGGAGACAGGAUUCGGCUUACUGACCUGCUUUUUUA